UUACGGUCAUAUCACGCUAAAACACUGGUUCUCGUACGAUCACUGAAGGUAAGCAACGUCGAACCUGGUCAUUAUGUAGAUGGGUGCCCGCUUGGGAAUACGACAUGCUGUAAG
Molecule: non-coding RNA, 114 nt
Organism: Acanthosepion pharaonis
Lineage: Eukaryota; Metazoa; Mollusca; Cephalopoda; Sepiida; Sepiidae
Source: the annotation of a GenBank genome assembly